AACGCUGGCGGCGUGCUUACACAUACAGUCGAACGAACUCUUCCGAGUGAGUCGGCGGACGGGUGAGUAACGCGUGAGAUCCCGCUUCAGUGAGGGGGACAACAGUUGGAAACGACUGCUAUAUACCCCAUAUGCCUACGGGUGAAAUGGUGAAUUCCGCCUGAAGAUAACUCGCGUCAGAUUACUAGUUGUGGGGUAAGAGCCUACCAAGGCGACGAUCUGUAGCUGGUCUGAAGGAUGAUCAGCACACUGGGGACUGAGACACGGCCCAGACUCCUACGGGAGGCAGCAGUGGGGAAUUUUCCGCCAAUGGGCGAAAGCCUGACGGAGCAACGCCGCGUGCGGGAUGACGGCCUGUGGGUUGUAAACCGCUUUUCUCAGGGGAAGAAGAUCUUGACGGUACCUGAGGAAUCAGCAUCGGCUAACUCCGUGCCAGCAGCCGCGGUAAUACGGAGGAUGCAAGCGUUAUCCGGA
Molecule: ribosomal RNA, 474 nt
Filed under: uncultured cyanobacterium
Lineage: Bacteria; Bacillati; Cyanobacteriota
Description: bacterial SSU rRNA
Rfam family: Bacterial small subunit ribosomal RNA
Source: RNAcentral